This 792-nucleotide ribosomal RNA is filed under the name uncultured bacterium. RNAcentral's name for it is "bacterial SSU rRNA". It matches the Rfam family "Bacterial small subunit ribosomal RNA", at positions 8 to 796 of the family's 1533-position model. The record is from RNAcentral.
AGAGUUUGAUCCUGGCUCAGAACGAACGCUGGCGGCGUGCUUAACACAUGCAAGUCGCGUGCGCAGUUGCCGUAGCAAUACGGUGAUGGGCGCACGGCGCACGGGUGCGUAACACGUGGGCAAUCUGCCCUUUGAUGGGGAAUAACCCGCCGAAAGGCGGGCUAAUUCCGCAUAAGAUUCUUUGGACUUCGGUCUGGAGAUUGAAAGCAGCAAUGCGUCGAAGGAGGAGCCCGCGCCCGAUUAGCUAGUUGGUGAGGUAACGGCUCACCAAGGCUAUGAUCGGUAGCUGGUCUGAGAGGAUGAUCAGCCACACUGGAACUGAGACACGGUCCAGACUCCUACGGGAGGCAGCAGUGGGGAAUCUUGCACAAUGGGCGAAAGCCUGAUGCAGCGACGCCGCGUGGGGGAUGAAGCAUUUCGGUGUGUAAACCCCUUUCGACUGGGAAGAAUACCUCGCAAGAGGGGUGACGGUACCAGUAGAAGAAGCCCCGGCUAACUACGUGCCAGCAGCCGCGGUAAGACGUAGGGGGCCAGCGUUGUUCGGAAUUACUGGGUGUAAAGGGUUCGUAGGCGGUGCGGCAAGUUGGGAGUGAAAUCUCUGGGCUUAACCCAGAGGCUGCUUCCAAAACUGCUGUGCUCGAGUGUGAGAGAGGCUCGUGGAAUUGCAGGUGUAGCGGUGAAAUGCGUAGAUAUCUGCAGGAACACCCGUGGCGAAAGCGGCGAGCUGGAUCACUACUGACGCUGAGGAACGAAAGCUAGGGGAGCAAACAGGAUUAGAUACCCUAGUAGUCC